CUAUACAUGCAAGUAGAACGCUGAAGAGAGGAGCUUGCUCUUCUUGGAUGAGUUGCGAACGGGUGAGUAACGCGUAGGUAACCUGCCUGGUAGCGGGGGAUAACUAUUGGAAACGAUAGCUAAUACCGCAUGAAAUUGCUUAUCGCAUGAUAAUUAAUUGAAAGAUGCAACUGCAUCACUACCAGAUGGACCUGCGUUGUAUUAGCUAGUUGGUGAGGUAACGGCUCACCAAGGCGACGAUACAUAGCCGACCUGAGAGGGUGAUCGGCCACACUGGGACUGGGACACGGCCCAGACUCCUACGGGAGGCAGCAGUAGGGAAUCUUCGGCAAUGGGGGGAACCCUGACCGAGCAACGCCGCGUGAGUGAAGAAGGUUUUCGGAUCGUAAAGCUCUGUUGUAAGAGAAGAACGGGUGUGAGAGUGGAAAGUUCACACUGUGACGGUAUCUUACCAGAAAGGGACGGCUAACUACGUGCCAGCAGCCGCGGUAAUACGUAGGUCCCGAGCGUUGUCCGGAUUUAUUGGGCGUAAAGCGAGCGCAGGCGGUUAGAUAAGUCUGAAGUUAAAGGCUGUGGCUUAACCAUAGUAUGCUUUGGAAACUGUUUAACUUGAGUGCAGAAGGGGAGAGUGGAAUUCCAUGUGUAGCGGUGAAAUGCGUAGAUAUAUGGAGGAACACCGGUGGCGAAAGCGGCUCUCUGGUCUGUAACUGACGCUGAGGCUCGAAAGCGUGGGGAGCAAACAGGAUUAGAUACCCUGGUAGUCCACGCCGUAAACGAUGAGUGCUAGGUGUUAGGCCCUUUCCGGGGCUUAGUGCCGCAGCUAACGCAUUAAGCACUCCGCCUGGGGAGUACGACCGCAAGGUUGAAACUCAAAGGAAUUGACGGGGGCCCGCACAAGCGGUGGAGCAUGUGGUUUAAUUCGAAGCACCGCGAAGAACCUUACCAGG
Molecule: ribosomal RNA, 947 nt
Filed under: uncultured bacterium
Lineage: Bacteria
Description: bacterial SSU rRNA
Rfam family: Bacterial small subunit ribosomal RNA
Source: RNAcentral